AGUGAACGCUGGCGGUAGGCCUAACACAUGCAAGUCGAACGGCAGCACAGUAAGAGCUUGCUCUUACGGGUGGCGGGUGGCGGACGGGUGAGGAAUACAUCGGAAUUUACUUUUUCGUGGGGGAUAACGUAGGGAAACUUACGCUAAUACCGCAUACGACCUACGGGUGAAAGCAGGGGAUCUUCGGACCUUGCGCGAUUGAAUGAGCCGAUGUCGGAUUAGCUAGUUGGCGGGGUAAAGGCCCACCAAGGCGACGAUCCGUAGCUGGUCUGAGAGGAUGAUCAGCCACACUGGAACUGAGACACGGUCCAGACUCCUACGGGAGGCAGCAGUGGGGAAUAUUGGACAAUGGGCGCAAGCCUGAUCCAGCCAUACCGCGUGGGUGAAGAAGGCCUUCGGGUUGUAAAGCCCUUUUGUUGGGAAAGAAAAGCAGCAGGUUAAUACCCCGCUGUUCUGACGGUACCCAAAGAAUAAGCACCGGCUAACUUCGUG
Molecule: ribosomal RNA, 492 nt
Filed under: uncultured bacterium
Lineage: Bacteria
Description: partial 16S ribosomal RNA
Rfam family: Bacterial small subunit ribosomal RNA
Source: RNAcentral